Molecule: ribosomal RNA, 50 nt
Filed under: Lactifluus piperatus
Lineage: Eukaryota; Fungi; Basidiomycota; Agaricomycetes; Russulales; Russulaceae
Also listed under: 71 other names
Description: Lactarius piperatus partial 28S ribosomal RNA
Source: RNAcentral
UUGACCUCAAAUCGGGUGAGACUACCCGCUGAACUUAAGCAUAUCAAUAA